AUUACCAUUAUGAUUUGUUACUUCAUCAAAUAAAGCUGAGAAAAUGCUUUAAGUAUCAAUAAAAAUUCGAGUAAAUAAAUUUUAUCCAAGAUCCAGAUAUAUAAGUAUUAGUGAUACUAAAAAUGUUGUUAAAUCUAAAAUACAUAGUGGAAAUAUCUCACUCCAAGAACCAAUUAAAAGCUGUUUAAAGAGGCUUGAAUUCUGCCUGCAAGGUUUUGCAUGUUGAUAGUUAUCAAACUAUAUUUUAUACCCUGUACUUUUAGAUAAAAUAGAUGACCAUGGAUAUCUACCAAUUGUCAAGUUGCAAUGCGCAAAAUAAAAUUAUCAGUAAUUACUGCAAAAAAUUAUUUUCUAUCAUGAAUCAUGAAAAAUCAGGUGUUAAUUCCAAUGAUUUGGAAGAACCAUCUAAAUUGUUCUAUUCACGCAAAUGUUCUAUAAUCACAGAAGAGUAAGCCAUUUAUCCUUCAGGUCAGACACCCGCAAAGGUCCAGUUUGAUUGAAAGUAACUCUGGUAAUUAUGUCACCGGAGGAAUCUCUGACUCAGACGUCCGCGAAUUGAUCUUUGGAUGCCAGCAUCCCAGUAACUGCAACUAGAGAGGUCUUCAAAUCAGACACCUGAGAAAGGUCUUGUUUAAUUAUGAUGGUUAGGUUGAUUCGAUCAACUAUUGAAAAUAAUACCAACGACGACAAUUAUCAUAUUGUCAUAUGAUGUCAAAACAGGUUUAAGAUGGAAAUAAAUGAGAUCAACAUGUGGUCAGAACCCUACCAUAAUGUAGUUAUUCCAGAAGUUCAAUAGAUUCAAGGUCAGACACUGUCUAUUUCUCUCUUUUGAAAAUUUUAAUGUUCUCAAUAUUUUCCACUUUUGAUAAUUUCAAUUGGCGAUCCGAUUUUUUAGAUUACUUUAAAUUCAUAAUAACUACUAUUUACUGAUUACAGAAAUAUCUGAAUAUAAGACUGAUAUUUUUUAGUAUGAUUCAAAUCAAAGUUUCACAUUUUUUUAUUUUCACUAAUAUUGAUAAUCUAAUACAUAUUAUUUUUCUGUACUAUUUCUAUAUCAGUUACUACAAUCUACAUAUUUGGAACAAUUCAAAAUGGAAAAGAGUUUGACUAUGAAAUACAAAUAGGGUUUACCUAAUAUGAUAAAGCAAAUACGUAACAAAAGCAGCAUUUCAUAAAAAAAACCAUGUGUUUUUUUAUCUACUAGCAAUGUAAAUUAUUCUGUGUUUAUUUUUAUUUAUUCCCUUGUGACAUGAUGAUUUUUCAUAUCAAUUUAUUAUCAAUAACUUUGCUGUAAAUUACUAAAUAAUGUUAUCAAAUUCCAUAUUUUCACAUUGCACGCCUUUCAAAAGCUUUAUUUAUCUAUUGAAAGUCCUCUAAGAGUGCAUUCCACUAUGCACUCACGACACUCACGUUCACAACCACGAUCUUUCCCGUUAGUUAAAUAACUUAAUUCACAACUUGGUAAAAACUAUUUAUUAACAUAAAAUAUAAAUAUAUGAAGUGUUUCAAUAAUGUGACUACUAAUCUCGUUGGAUUUCAAGACUGUUUUGAACACACUAUACUUGUUUAUGCUCUUUUAAAUACUAAUCCUAUUGUAUACAAAACCUAUUAGUUAUUAUAUUUGAUAAGUUAAAGGAACUUCAAGUGUCUAAAGGACAUAUGAAACCGCUUAAGUAAGACGUUGAGGACGGUCAGUUUGCAAUAAAUCUUAACGAAUACAAUAGUAAGUAGAAGUUAAGUAGGUAGAUUUAUGAUUCUUCACAGUCACAUUAAUAAAAGACAGCAAUUAGGUAAUCCGAGACAAUACGUUAAUGGAGCAUAAAAUAGGAGAAAUAUUGUAUAACUUAAUAUAUCGUAACCAGAUCUUAAAUAGUUAACAUCAAGAGUGGAAUGAUAAUUCGUUCCACUUAGUCCAGAGCGUUAUAAUCGAAACCCAAGUGGAAUGGAUUACGACGCGUUUUGAGUGUUAUAAAGAAUUAUAAAGGAAUGGCGAAACUGAAAAAAUAAAUCGAAAGUUUUGAGAGGUUAUGUUAUAAUUUGUAACUUAUUAAAUUUUUAGUGGAGGGCUUAACUGACCUACACUAAAGUAAAACCAAAAUAUCUCUGCGGCGAUAGUAAAAUAUUUGGUGGUGCGUUACAAUAAUGCUUCAAAACAACGAUCGUAGUCGCUAUGUGGAACUCUCAAAGGAGUAUUUCAAGCCCCGUGAACGCUAAGUGGAAUGCGCCCUAAUUUUUAACGUUUGUGAAAGAAAGAAUCUAAAACCUUACUUUUAUUAUUUUACAUAUCGCUUUCCUACUUCAAUAGUGCUAUAACCCAAAAAAAUGACAUUUUCUGUCCAAUGUAUACUUUAUCAAGAUGUUUAUAGGAUUUAAUAGUGCCAUAUCGUUAGUACGAGCAGAAUCCGUGUGAGGAGUCAAGUGUCACUAUUACAAUGAGUUACUCGCGACUAUAUAUACCAUGUACAGUGCCGUGAACCAGUAGUCAUAUCAUUUCGUCGAUUUAGUUCCGAUACUGACCUACACAACUAAACCAAAGUUUGAUGCAAGCAAAAAGAAAUAGGUAUUUCGUUUUAUUCGAAUUAAGUCCUAACUUAACAAGUCUAAAUAAAAUUAACAUCAACAGCAGUGCCAUAUCAUUGAAAAAAAUGUUUUUUAAAGCAGUCUGUAGAUUUUACAUUACAUUUUACAUCACUAAUCAGUAACGAUAUAAUCAAACUGUAUAUGUACUAAGUUCGAAGACCAAAAAUGGCCAGUGUCAGUUUAAAACAACCACAAUGCGUGCUGUGCGCCUUACGUUUGCCAGAACGCAUUGUGGCUCUAAAUUAUUUUCUAUUUAAAAGACUUCAGCUCACUUAAUAUAAUGCCGCUUAUUAAUAAUCAUUUGGUAACAAAUUAGUACAACACUCAUUAUUCGAAUAAAUGUUUAAUGACAACAUUUUUAUAUAUGUUUUAUACCCAUAUAGUCAAUAAUUAAUAUAAAUUAUCAACAGUCGUUUUAAUGUAAAAAAGUAUAUUACUAAAAUCAAUCUUCGCUGCAUAUCCACCUAUUUGUUUUGGCAUGAGGAAUUGUUGCGGCAUUUUGAAUUGCAUUGAACUUUAUGUUUUACGCAGUUAGGUUAGGUUAGUUAUAUUGUCAUUGUCAAGGAUAAUUCGUAUGUCUAUUGUUGUUACCUGUACCUGUGAUGUACUUUUAUAUUUCUUAUUUUACAUUUCGAAAGUCCUAACACAGGUAUGAAUAAAAAGUAAGGAUCCUCUAACGGUUUGGGGUGUUGAUUACGAUUCAACAUCUCAGGAGUCGUUUACGAACAUUUUUGGAGUGCAGUUCAGUUUUACUCGGGCGUCGAUUUUACUAUCAGGAUCAAUAUUUUAUACUGAAGUAUUGCAAAAUUUUUUUUUUUUUUUAAUAAACGUCGAAGCUUGGAAAA
Long non-coding RNA from Diorhabda carinulata, 3425 nucleotides. RefSeq lists it as uncharacterized. The record is from RefSeq and is a predicted model, not a curated record. NCBI's taxonomy places the organism in Eukaryota, Metazoa, Arthropoda, Insecta, Coleoptera, Chrysomelidae. The transcript has 2 exons.